UACGGAGGAUCCAAGCGUUAUCCGGAAUCAUUGGGUUUAAAGGGUUCGUAGGCGGAUUAGUAAGUCAGUGGUGAAAGUUUGCGGCUUAACCGUAAAAUUGCCGUUGAUACUGCUAGUCUUGAAUAUUUGUGAAGUAGCUAGAAUAUGUAGUGUAGCGGUGAAAUGCUUAGAUAUUACAUGGAAUACCGAUUGCGAAGGCAGGUUACUAACAAAUGAUUGACGCUGAUGAACGAAAGCGUGGGUAGCGAACAGG
RNAcentral lists this ribosomal RNA (253 nucleotides) under uncultured bacterium. Its description in RNAcentral is "partial 16S ribosomal RNA". It matches the Rfam family "Bacterial small subunit ribosomal RNA", at positions 524 to 776 of the family's 1533-position model. The record is from RNAcentral.